RNAcentral lists this long non-coding RNA (545 nucleotides) under Mytilus galloprovincialis (Mediterranean mussel). The record is from RNAcentral. Lineage: Eukaryota; Metazoa; Mollusca; Bivalvia; Mytilida; Mytilidae.
UGGGUAGCAUUUGUUAAAUGUCUUCCGAAAAGUCAUACACACAUUCAACUGUUUGUUUUAGCUCGUUCCUUUGCUGUCUCCACAAAGUUCCAAACGACCCUAACUGUCUCUUAACGUCUUAUUGCCUCGAUACUCACAUUUCUUUGAUUUAUUUUUUUUACAUUUCUUUUUUCCCUCGGCGUUAACCGUCUUAAGUGAUGUCUCUUUUAUGGUGUAAUAGUUGGUGAACAAUUAACCUUUGAAAAUGAAUUGGGCUCUGUAUUUUCAUAAUGGUAAAGUAUAUGCCAAGUUAAGUCAACAUAUUUAAACUAUGACGGACUACGAAGAGUGUAGAGUGUUAACAAGGAAAUCUAGAUAUUCAUAAGGACUAAGUAUGAAUCAAAUAUGGUAAAAAUCCUAGAAUGAUGUUGAAUAUAGAGUGUCAACAAUUGUUUGACGGACCGAAGGACCUAAUGGAAGCGAAAAUACAGACAAAUGUUAUUUUAACAAUGGCAAUCGGGCUUAAAGGGUAAUUGAAUUAUCUUAGUGCAAGCCCGUUAUAGGGC